This 492-nucleotide ribosomal RNA is filed under the name uncultured bacterium. RNAcentral describes it as "partial 16S ribosomal RNA". It matches the Rfam family "Bacterial small subunit ribosomal RNA", at positions 29 to 507 of the family's 1533-position model. The record is from RNAcentral.
AGUGAACGCUGGCGGUAGGCCUAAAACAUGCAAGUCGAACGGCAGCACAGUAAGAGCUUGCUCUUACGGGUGGCGAGUGGCGGACGGGUGAGGAAUACAUCGGAAUCUACUUUUUCGUGGGGGAUAACGUAGGGAAACUUACGCUAAUACCGCAUACGACCUACGGGUGAAAGCAGGGGAUCUUCGGACCUUGCGCGAUUGAAUGAGCCGAUGUCGGAUUAGCUAGUUGGCGGGGUAAAGGCCCACCAAGGCGACGAUCCGUAGCUGGUCUGAGAGGAUGAUCAGCCACACUGGAACUGAGACACGGUCCAGACUCCUACGGGAGGCAGCAGUGGGGAAUAUUGGACAAUGGGCGCAAGCCUGAUCCAGCCAUACCGCGUGGGUGAAGAAGGCCUUCGGGUUGUAAAGCCCUUUUGUUGGGAAAGAAAAGCAGCAGGUUAAUACCCCGCUGUUCUGACGGUACCCAAAGAAUAAGCACCGGCUAACUUCGUG